CUUUUACCGCAUGUCAGAUUUGCUCUAAAUGCUUUGGUUUUUGAGUUAUAAGCCAAAAACUGCAUUUUACCCCUAUGUUCUAUUUUUAGCCAUGGCGGCCAUCUUGGUUGGUUGACCGGGUCACGCCACACAUUUUUUAAACUAGAUAUCCCAAAUAUGAUUGUGGCCAAGUUUGGAUUAAUUUGGCCCUGUAGUUUCAGAGGAGAAGAUUUUUGUAAAAGAUUACUAAGAUUUAGGAAAAAUGGUUAAAAAUUGACUAUAAAGGUCAAUAACUCCUAAAGGGGUCAACUGACCAUUUUGGUCAUGUUGACUUAUUUGUAAAUC
RNAcentral lists this long non-coding RNA (324 nucleotides) under Mytilus galloprovincialis (Mediterranean mussel). The record is from RNAcentral. Lineage: Eukaryota; Metazoa; Mollusca; Bivalvia; Mytilida; Mytilidae.